RNAcentral lists this ribosomal RNA (471 nucleotides) under uncultured bacterium. Its description in RNAcentral is "partial 16S ribosomal RNA". It matches the Rfam family "Bacterial small subunit ribosomal RNA", at positions 28 to 507 of the family's 1533-position model. The record is from RNAcentral.
GACGAACGCUGGCGGCGUGCUUAACACAUGCAAGUCGAACGAUGAAGCCUAGCUUGCUGGGUGGAGUAGUGGCGAACGGGUGAGUAAUACGUGAGUAACCUACCUUUAACUCUGGGAUAAGCCUGGGAAACGGGGUCUAAUACCGGAUACGACCAAUCUCCGCAUGGGGUGUUGGUGGAAAGCGUUAUGUAGUGGUUAUAGAUGGGCUCACGGCCUAUCAGCUUGUUGGUGAGGUAACGGCGCAGCAAGGCGACGACUGGUACCAGGCCUGAGAGGGUGACAGGCCACACUGCGCCUGAGACAAGGCACAGACUACUCCGGGAGGCAGCAGUGCGGAAUAUUGCACAAUGGGCGCAAGCAUGAUGCAGCGAAGCAGCGUGGGGGAUGACGGCAUUCGGGUUGUAAACCUCUGUUAGCAGGGAAGAAGAGAAAUUGACGGUACCUGCAGAGAAAGCGCCGGCUAACUACGUG